Molecule: long non-coding RNA, 411 nt
Filed under: Sparus aurata (gilthead seabream)
Lineage: Eukaryota; Metazoa; Chordata; Actinopteri; Spariformes; Sparidae
Description: lncRNA (ENSSAUG00010009468.1)
Source: RNAcentral
CAUGUCAGUGCAAAUGAAGACACGCAUUCACAGCUCUGAUCCUGACCUCGCCAAUAUACACCUAAUUGCGCAUCGUAAAGGCCGACGUCAUCGAACCCCAACACCUCCACCUCGACGACCGGACGAGAAAGAAUCAUUGUGAAGCCACAGAACCGGUCAGAGAAACAAACCUUAAGCCAUUUCAGAGUAAACAGCUCAUCAGCGCCAGCAACAAAUGUGGGCACAGGUGCUCGAAUAUCUGAGGGGGAGGAAGUUGUGAAUAUCAGAAACCUCCUUCAUGCAGGGUAUCAACACACCACGUAUUUCAAGAGAGCCAGCGCUGAAUGCUACAAAUUCACCUUACAUUUCGGUCUGUUGGCCGAAAAGUGUUUUGGUGCACUCGAAAUGUGACCCCAUUUACCAAACGCUGGC